UUCCAUGUUAUUACGUGUGGCAGCCAGCCAAACAAGCUCUAGAUUUUUAUUUUGUUUUGAGAUUCUAAUGCUCCUUUACCUUGGGGGUUGGGUAUAAAUUCUGCAACUUCGUGUAAGUUUACUAAGAACUUGGAUUAUCGUCUUUUUAGGUAAAUCUGUCUGACAGUUCUGCUGGUAAAGAGGCUAGGAUACAAGAGGUUGAAGCUAAAUUUACCCAUUGUCAGGCAAUGUGAAACCGUAUUACCCAGGCAUGAUCAUAAAAUGGAUGAAGUAAUACUGAGAUGCAGAGUUCUUAAGUUGUGACAUCCCUUUACUCUUUGGCGUAUUAAUACCGCCUAAUAUAAUUUCCACCGAGCAUCUAGAAUGGGGAGGCCUAAUGUUACCUUGUUGCAGUUGCAGGUAAAAACACUAAAUCCUUGCAUCCUAAUCACCCGCGAGCAGCAGGAAAAGAUAUGUAAUUCAACACAAGAAGAGAGGAAAACAUAUGCUAGCUGCCUGUACUUUUCCGAACAGUUGCAACAAAAUAUUCAGAGGUGCCAACUUGCGUGAGAAAAUAGAAGAGAAGAAAGUUCUAACUGCUCCAAUUAGUGUCGUGCCAGAUAUGUUGAUUUCCAAAGGAAAUAAUCUACGCAAGCUUGAGGAGAAGAAAUUUCUGCAGAUUGGCUCCGUGCACUACUAGAGAACUCGGUAUUAGUACCGGUUCGUAGACUGCAUAUCUCCCGAAAAUGCAACCGGGAUUAAUCC
This 744-nucleotide long non-coding RNA is filed under the name Setaria italica (foxtail millet). RNAcentral describes it as "long non-coding RNA (SITA_LNC004590)". Lineage: Eukaryota; Viridiplantae; Streptophyta; Magnoliopsida; Poales; Poaceae. The record is from RNAcentral.